Molecule: small nucleolar RNA, 101 nt
Organism: Macaca fascicularis (crab-eating macaque)
Lineage: Eukaryota; Metazoa; Chordata; Mammalia; Primates; Cercopithecidae
Source: Ensembl
AUCCUUCAGUUCUUAAACAUGACAAUUGGAUGUUUAUGCCUAUGUGUGAGAUGUGUCACCCUUGAACCUUGUUACCAUGUCUGCACAUUACCUGUCUGACA